ACAGCAGUAGCCGCGGGAAUACGUAGGGUGCAAGCGUUAAUCGGAAUCACUGGGCGUAAAGCGUGCGCAGGCGGUUAUAUAAGACAGAUGUGAAAUCCCCGGGCUCAACCUGGGAACUGCAUUUGUGACUGUAUAGCUAGAGUACGGCAGAGGGGGAUGGAAUUCCGCGUGUAGCAGUGAAAUGCGUAGAUAUGCGGAGGAACACCGAUGGCGAAGGCAAUCCCCUGGGCCUGUACUGACGCUCAUGCACGAAAGCGUGGGGAGCAAACAGGAUUAGAUACCCGUGUAGUCCCUGUCUCUUAUAC
This 305-nucleotide ribosomal RNA is filed under the name uncultured bacterium. Its description in RNAcentral is "partial 16S ribosomal RNA". It matches the Rfam family "Bacterial small subunit ribosomal RNA", at positions 506 to 807 of the family's 1533-position model. The record is from RNAcentral.